AACCAGCACCUCAAGUGGUCAGGAUGAUUAUUGGGCCUAAAGCAUCCGUAGCUCGUUUUGUAAGUUUUCGGUUAAAUCCAUACGCUUAACGUAUGGGCUGCCGGGAAUACUGCAUAACUAGGAAGUGGGAGAGGUAGACGGUACUCGGUAGGAAGGGGUAAAAUCCUUUGAUCUAUUGAUGACCACCUGUGGCGAAGGCGGUCUACCAGAACACGUUCGACGGUGAGGGAUGAAAGCUGGGGGAGCAAACCGGAUUAGAUACCCGGGUAGUCCCAGCUGUAAACUAUGCAAACUCAGUGAUGCAUUGGCUUGUGGCCAAUGCAGUGCUGCAGGGAAGCCGUUAAGUUUGCCGCCUGGGAAGUACGUACGCAAGUAUGAAACUUAW
Molecule: ribosomal RNA, 385 nt
Filed under: uncultured crenarchaeote
Lineage: Archaea; Thermoproteati; Thermoproteota
Description: bacterial SSU rRNA
Rfam family: Archaeal small subunit ribosomal RNA
Source: RNAcentral